Molecule: ribosomal RNA, 289 nt
Filed under: uncultured bacterium
Lineage: Bacteria
Description: partial 16S ribosomal RNA
Rfam family: Bacterial small subunit ribosomal RNA
Source: RNAcentral
GUGGAUUAGAUACCCGAGUAGUCCACGCCGUAAACGAUGAAUGCCAGCCGUUAGUGGGUUUACUCACUAGUGGCGCAGCUAACGCUUUAAGCAUUCCGCCUGGGGAGUACGGUCGCAAGAUUAAAACUCAAAGGAAUUGACGGGGGCCCGCACAAGCGGUGGAGCAUGUGGUUUAAUUCGACGCAACGCGCAGAACCUUACCAGCCCUUGACAUGUCCAGGACCGGUCGCAGAGACGUGACCUUCUCUUCGGAGCCUGGAACACAGGUGCUGCACGGUUGUCGACAACU